Molecule: unclassified non-coding RNA, 354 nt
Filed under: Crepidotus applanatus
Lineage: Eukaryota; Fungi; Basidiomycota; Agaricomycetes; Agaricales; Crepidotaceae
Description: partial internal transcribed spacer region
Rfam family: Eukaryotic small subunit ribosomal RNA (bases 1-46)
Source: RNAcentral
AAGUCGUAACAAGGUUUCCGUAGGUGAACCUGCGGAAGGAUCAUUAAAGAAAUAAACCUGGCUUGAAUUGUAGCUGACUCUCUCUAGAGUAUGUGCACAUUCUUGUCGUCUUUAUAUCUCCACCUGUGCACCUUUUGUAGAUCAAUGGAUGCGAACUUUCUGAGGCUUGAGCAAAGCCUUCAGGUUAUAUGAGGAUCGACGGAGUCGCACAGAUACCGGCUUUCCUUGGAUGCAUCUUCAUUGUCUAUGUCUUUUUUCAUAUACACCAAUGAAUGUAAUAGAAUGAAUUUAAAUGGGUCUUUGUUACCUAUAAUAAAGUUUAUACAACUUUCAGCAACGGAUCUCUUGGCUCUC